UACGUAGGGUGCGAGCGUUAAUCGGAAUUACUGGGCGUAAAGCGUGCGCAGGCGGUUUUGUAAGACAGGCGUGAAAUCCCCGGGCUCAACCUGGGAAUGGCGCUUGUGACUGCAAAGCUGGAGUGCGGCAGAGGGGGAUGGAAUUCCGCGUGUAGCAGUGAAAUGCGUAGAUAUGCGGAGGAACACCGAUGGCGAAGGCAAUCCCCCUGGGCCUGCACUGACGCUCAUGCACGAAAGCGUGGGGAGCAAACAGG
This 254-nucleotide ribosomal RNA is filed under the name uncultured bacterium. RNAcentral describes it as "partial 16S ribosomal RNA". It matches the Rfam family "Bacterial small subunit ribosomal RNA", at positions 524 to 776 of the family's 1533-position model. The record is from RNAcentral.